UUUGACGCUUCGGAUAUUGGGCGUAAGAGCUCGUAGGCGGUUUGUCGCGUCUGCCGUGAAAGUCCGGGGCUCAACUCCGGAUCUGCGGUGGGUACGGGCAGACUAGAGUGAUGUAGGGGAGACUGGAAUUCCUGGUGUAGCGGUGAAAUGCGCAGAUAUCAGGAGGAACACCGAUGGCGAAGGCAGGUCUCUGGGCAUUAACUGACGCUGAGGAGCGAAAGCAUGGGGAGCGAACAGGAUUAGAUACCCUGGUAGUCCAUGCCGUAAACGUUGGGCACUAGGUGUGGGGGACAUUCCACGUUUUCCGCGCCGUAGCUAACGCAUUAAGUGCCCCGCCUGGGGAGUACGGCCGCAAGGCUAAAACUCAAAGGAAUUGACGGGGGCCCGCACAAGCGGCGGAGCAUGCGGAUUAAUUCGAUGCAACGCGAAGAACCUUACCAAGGCUUGACAUGAACCGGAAAGACCUGGAAACAGGUCCCCCACUUGUGGUCGGUUUACAGGUGGUGCAUGGUUGUCGUCAGCUCGUGUCGUGAGAUGUUGGGUUAAGUCCCGCAACGAGCGCAACCCUCGUUCCAUGUUGCCAGCGCGUAAUGGCGGGGACUCAUGGGAGACUGCCGGGGUCAACUCGGAGGAAGGUGGGGACGACGUCAAAUCAUCAUGCCCCUUAUGUCUUGGGCUUCACGCAUGCUACAAUGGCCGGUACAAAGGGUUGCGAUACUGUGAGGUGGAGCUAAUCCCAAAAAGCCGGUCUCAGUUCGGAUUGGGGUCUGCAACUCGACCCCAUGAAGUCGGAGUCGCUAGUAAUCGCAGAUCAGCAACGCUGCGGUGAAUACGUUCCCGGGCCCUUGUACACACCGCCCGUCAAGUCACGAAAAGUUGGUAACACCCGAAGCCGGUGGCCUAAACCCCUUGUGGGGAGGGAGCUGUCGAAGGUGGGACUGGCGAUGGGACUAAGUCGUAACAGGUAACCAG
Molecule: ribosomal RNA, 972 nt
Filed under: uncultured bacterium
Lineage: Bacteria
Description: bacterial SSU rRNA
Rfam family: Bacterial small subunit ribosomal RNA
Source: RNAcentral